RNAcentral lists this unclassified non-coding RNA (578 nucleotides) under Atta cephalotes. RNAcentral describes it as "misc RNA LOC105627232". The record is from RNAcentral. Lineage: Eukaryota; Metazoa; Arthropoda; Insecta; Hymenoptera; Formicidae.
GACGACGAGGACGAGGGACGUAAGUGAGUCAGGGAUAACGUCGUUGCAGUACGUCGUGCGGUGCUGCAUCAUCGCUUAGGAAUGGUAUCGCCGUCCAAGCACCAAUAUCAGCAGCAGCAGCAGCAACAACAGCAACUCAGGCAACCGUCGAGAGAAAACAAGUUUGAUCCACGACGAAAGCCAGAAGACUGAGAUGCCUUCCAAAUUUGUCUUAGCUUGGACGCUAUGUGCAAAUUAAUGGAAUCUUUGCCGAUGCCGAAGCCAGUACUCUGAGCGAUCACCAGUGUUUCCUUCGCUGUAUGGUGCAAAUAGUAAUGAUGAUUCAUUUUAUAUAUCCCGUCUUAUAGUACGUUCUCUGGAUGUGAGUAACAAGACUGUUAUUAUCGCUUGAUUAGAGGCUGCACCAAUUCGUCUGUAUCAUGUGAUUUGUACAGCGGUUGGUACGAAUGUAAGACAGCAACUAAAAUACUAUAAGUGGACGCUUCUUAUAACAUAUUUCUCGGAAAAAAAAGUCCGUGGAAAAUAUUAAUGCUCUACACGCUCAGUUGAUUCAUUUGGGAUUGACAAUAAAUCGAAAA